Molecule: long non-coding RNA, 422 nt
Organism: Hyaena hyaena (striped hyena)
Lineage: Eukaryota; Metazoa; Chordata; Mammalia; Carnivora; Hyaenidae
Exons: 2
Source: RefSeq, a predicted model, not a curated record
GCAUUGAUUUCCUUCUAAGCGUGGAAAACAUCUUAAACGCCUCGCCUCUCACACAGCCAGAUCUGGCCUAGACCAAGCGGAGCAGAUCUUUCCUGGGACGAUUCCCCUCACAAGCUUGGCCACACACCUUCUAGGAAGGGUGUGAGUGCAGGUUCAUAUUAAUAAAUGGACUCCAAAUACGUGAUGUCUGAAGGCAGAGCUGACCAGGCAUCACUGUGCUCCGAUGGGAAAGGGCAGCUAUGCCAAGGCUAGUCCAAAUGUGCCAACUCUCGCAGCAAAUCAGAAGGGCAAGCCCAUGUGUCCUGUUAGCCAAGCCACCCCGACUCCUCAAGGAGAGGCUUUAAAGAGACACCCUGCUCACACCUCUCACCCCCAGUUAAUAAAUGGCUGGGUCCAUGUUAACAAAUGGCUUUAAGACCUUA